GCCCCGAGGUUCAUUAAUUACAAAACGGUUUCCGAUUACUUUAGUUAAAAAUUUGUAUUAACAUUCUUGGGAGUUAAAACAUUUGCCGUCGGAAAAACUAAGCGGUUUUCUAGAUGACCGGUUGGCCAGCCUGUUAAAUCCGGUUAAAUCAAGCUCGCAACAGCCUCUCAAAAAAAGGAGUCUUGGAAGCGCUGCGGGCAGUCGCCUUUAACAGAGAUCAGAAGAAAUUAGUUAAAGGCACGGCUGAUAAAUUGAAGACGUGUGCUAUCAAACUCUUGGCGUCGUCAAAGAGCAACAACAGUCGAGAUGUGGUCUUGGACGAGUUCCCGGAAUGGCUGCAACGUUCCAUGGGCCGGAUCAAAGACACCA
Molecule: long non-coding RNA, 369 nt
Organism: Daphnia pulicaria
Lineage: Eukaryota; Metazoa; Arthropoda; Branchiopoda; Diplostraca; Daphniidae
Exons: 3
Source: RefSeq, a predicted model, not a curated record